RNAcentral lists this transfer RNA (67 nucleotides) under Marmota monax (woodchuck). RNAcentral's name for it is "tRNA.Cys". The record is from RNAcentral. Lineage: Eukaryota; Metazoa; Chordata; Mammalia; Rodentia; Sciuridae.
GGAGUUGUGGCUCAGUGGUAGAGUGCUCCUAGCAUGUGUGAGGCCCUGGGUUCAAUCCUCAGCACCA